UGGGGAAUAUUGCGCAAUGGGCGAAAGCCUGACGCAGCGACGCCGCGUGGAGGAUGAAGGCCUUCGGGUUGUAAACUUCUGUUAAGUGGGAGGAAAUGCGUGCGUUUAAUAGACGUACGAGCUGACAGUACCACUAGAGAAAGCACUGGCUAAUCUCGUGCCAGCAGCCGCGGUAAUACGAGAGGUGCAAGCGUUAUUCGGAAUCAUUGGGCGUAAAGGGUGUGUAGGCGGUAUGCUAAGUCAAUUGUUUAAUUUCCCGGCCCAACCGGGAGCUAGCAGUAGAUACUGGUGUACUAGAGUAUGGAAGAGAGAAGUGGAAUUCUCGGAGUAGCGGUAAAAUGCGUAGAUCUCGAGAGGAACACCGAUGGCGAAGGCAGCUUCUUGGUCCAUUACUGACGCU
This 400-nucleotide ribosomal RNA is filed under the name uncultured bacterium. RNAcentral describes it as "bacterial SSU rRNA". It matches the Rfam family "Bacterial small subunit ribosomal RNA", at positions 355 to 747 of the family's 1533-position model. The record is from RNAcentral.